AACGAACGCUGGCGGCGCGUUUUACGCAUGCAAGUCGAACGGCAAGCAUGGUAGCAAUACUGUGAAGAGAGUGGCAAACGGGUGAGUAACACGUAGGUGAUCUACCUUUGGAUGGGGGAUAGUCCGUGGAAACACGGGGUAAUACCGCAUGAGGCCCUUGGGGUAAAGCCCAGGGGUGAAAGGUGCAAUUGCACCGUCUGGGGAUGAGCCUGCGGCCCAUUAGGCAGUUGGCGGGGUAAAGGCCCACCAAACCGACGAUGGGUAGCCGGCCUGAGAGGGUGUACGGCCACACUGGAACUGAGACACGGUCCAGACUCCUACGGGAGGCAG
Molecule: ribosomal RNA, 330 nt
Filed under: uncultured Spirochaetota bacterium
Lineage: Bacteria; Pseudomonadati; Spirochaetota
Description: bacterial SSU rRNA
Rfam family: Bacterial small subunit ribosomal RNA
Source: RNAcentral